This 173-nucleotide unclassified non-coding RNA is filed under the name uncultured Ascomycota. Its description in RNAcentral is "sequence contains ITS1". Lineage: Eukaryota; Fungi; Ascomycota. The record is from RNAcentral.
CAGAGUUGAAAGACUCCCAAACCAUCGCGAACGCUACCCCUAUCGUUGCUUCGGCGGGCGUCAUCUCCCCAGCCAGCCCCUCGCGGGCGGGCGGGGAGAGCCUGCCGGCGGCACCCAAAACUCUGUUUUUUUACCACUGGACCUCUCUGAGUAUACUGUAUUAAAAUCAGUCA